Molecule: long non-coding RNA, 2401 nt
Organism: Bombus pascuorum
Lineage: Eukaryota; Metazoa; Arthropoda; Insecta; Hymenoptera; Apidae
Exons: 5
Source: RefSeq, a predicted model, not a curated record
UGAUAUAUACUCCGCUUUAAAGGAUCACCUUAGGGCAGUUGGUGCAAAAAAUGUAAGACGUUGCAUAGUCACGUAAAACUCUAAAUAAAACGGUACAAUAAAAUCCAAGGUCGACAACAUGAUUAAACGCACAGUUACACAUUUGCUGUGAAAGAAUAUAGACUUUUAAUGGAGUUCAUUCAUAUCGGAAGCAUCUGUGUCGCGUAAAAAGCAAAGGAAACCACUACGUACCAAGUUCAGAAUCGGAUAACUUUCAGUAAUCAAAUUGUAUGUCACACGAAACUAUUGCGAAUCGGCUGAUCUUUACUUUGAUUAUACCAUCAGCUGACACGAUAUCUCUAAUUACUUGCAAUCCGUCCGCUGGCAAUCGCAGCCACCCACACGACGCCGUUCAUUCAUCCACGAUCAUUUCCUCUGCUUUAAUGAGACGUACCACCUACGACCGGUUCCAUAUAAAUUACGAUUCUUUCUCGUUCGAACGUAUUGGUAUUUCCUCUGUCUCUCUGUUUUAUUCUCAUCCAUGUCGUUAGCGAUCGUCCACGAUUGGAAGGGGAAAGGCCGCCACGUUCGCGAAUACCUGCGGAUGAAACCGGUCUCUCGAAAUCGUCUAAGUCGAGAGCCACAAAAGAACCACGCCGGCCGCGAGAGAAAUUCCAUUUCCAGCGGAGAUAACGCGAUCCCCUCGCUCUUAGCGGUGAUACGUUAAUCGCUUAACGAUUUAUCGACGCCCCAUCGCUUAAUAUAAAUGAGCCAAGAAGGAAUUGGAACAAGAUUGGAAGAGGAUUGGAACAAGAGAAAAUAGAAAAUUCUUUGAACUACUGGAAAAAUGAAAGUGUAAAAUUUAAAAAUUGGCAGAGAGAGAGUAUUAAUCUCUUAAGGAAUGAUUCAUCUAAAUAUUUGAGUAUACAUUAAAUGUUGAUAAACAUUAAAUAUUGCAUUAAUACAAAGUUAGCUCAUAAUAGCUGAAGAGAUUAAAAAACCUUAUGUUUCUUUAAAGAAUAAAAAAAUACCCAAUAUUGCAAAAAUAAAUUUAAAAGAUAUCUAGUUUCUACAAAAAAAGAUAAAAGAUAUGCAAAAUUCGUAAGAAACGUGAUUGAAAAAAACGUGUCAAGAAAGAAAUAAAGAUAAAAGAAAAAGUUACAAACUCAUUCUGUUUCGUGGAAAAUGUAAGGCACCAAACAUGACAUGAAAAGCUUCUGAAACUAAAUUGUUUGAAAGAUCUCAUCGAUGACGUCAAACACAAAUAUAAUUCCAUUUCGAUCAAUCAUUACCAUUGCUUCAACGCACGCGAUACUUUUCAUAGAAAGAAGAUGCGAAGAAUUUAACUCUGAAGGUCGAACAUUCUUCUUCCUUGAAAACUACGCAUUUCUUGUCUCACGACUCGUAUGAUUUUAAUAACUGUUCAUCAUUACCUUCGAAGCGUCCUGUUCAUUUGAGUCUUUUUACUCUUGAUCAGAAGUUUCGUGUUUGAUCUCCGAUAAACGUCACUCGCGUCAUGAAUCACUAGUAAACACAGUUCCCUGUUCUAUCCAAUUACACCCAUAGAUCGAAAAAUAGCAGAAGUGCACGUGCAUAAAAUGCACGUUUCAAUUUUUAAUUCACGCGAAUCAAUGCGUAGACACGGCACGGUCUAGACGUGACAUCAACAUCACAAUAAGGCGCGAUGAGUUGGCGUUCAGGAAUCCGGGAGAGAUAAAACAGGACUUUCUAGGAGGACGAGGGAGAAACGAAAGCAUCCCCCAGCCCUUCGUGUUUUACCUACUAGUAUCUUGGAAUGUCGAUGGUUCAUAUGCAGCUAGUUAAAAACGUACAACGGGAAAGGGAAGAAAACAUAUCAGGACAUGAAAAGAGAAGAACAAUGCGACUAAUAUUUUAAAAAAGUCAUGUUGAACGAAGGAUAAUGCGUCAGUUAAAUGCAAAUAGGAAAGACGUUAUUUGUGUCUGGCAGAGUAAAUCAAUUAUUAAACCACAACAAAAACAUAAAAAAUGAAUUAUUAAAUGAAGACAUCAAAAAAAGAAACCCGUCAUUAACAUAAUAAUAUUUUGUUUACUAAAAAGAAGAAAGGAAAUUAGAAGGUAGAGAAGAAUGGAAUUGGAUCGAAAUGCAGACGAAUCAAACCGCACCCAUGGAACGAACAAUAAGCAACGAGAUGGAGAAGGGACACAUUCCUUUCGUACGCGUGGAAACGCAUCGUGAAUGCUCAUCGGAUGAACUCCGAUUCGUUUUGCCUGUAGAAAAUACUGGCACGAUGCGUUCGUUCAAGUAUAGUCACCAAUUUGUGCUGCUAAUGAACUCAGCGAAAAAAGCGAUCGUUUCUUUUCACGAUUUCUCCUGACAAUCAUGUGCGUCUGUGGUGGAGAACUGUGAACAAUAUGUACAUCAGUUGUAAUUGUUGCUGUU